Molecule: long non-coding RNA, 563 nt
Organism: Daphnia pulicaria
Lineage: Eukaryota; Metazoa; Arthropoda; Branchiopoda; Diplostraca; Daphniidae
Exons: 3
Source: RefSeq, a predicted model, not a curated record
AGAAAGUGAACAUAUGUGUAGAACCAGCAACGAAAAGGAAUUGAUUUUGGACCUCAAACUUCAAUCUACCAGUAAACUUAAUGGAGUUGACAGCAAGGAUAAUGUUGUUAUGAUGAUUAUUGAAGCGACAGGAAACAAUGGAAAUUUGUGAACAUGACAAGAUGCCACAAAAAGUCUAAAAGGCAAAUCAGACUAUUAGACAGCAACUCUAAGAAUUUUAAUCAGAGCUGGCUGACAGGGUAUUGCAUCAGAAAGCUGAAACAGACAUACAAAAAUCUACGAGACACUGUAGCUAUGGAAGCAAUGUCACAGAUGUUGCUGAACCUAGUUUCAUUUAUCUGUUUGCCUGGGCGUGAAUAAAACCUGCCCGCCUAUUUCAAGUACCUAAUGGCUAUUACUAUCUGGAUCAUUCAGUACUACAUCUCUGCCGGUCUUAUAUUGGAAUAGCUACCAUUGCUAAAUGUUAGUUUAUUUAGCACCAACGUCGAUUACAUUUAAUGUCGCUUUUUAAUUGUGAAGUAACCGUACCUGGUUCUGGACAUGACAGGCGCAUCAUAAUGUCU